RNAcentral lists this long non-coding RNA (1665 nucleotides) under Carica papaya (papaya). RNAcentral's name for it is "long non-coding RNA (CPAP_LNC014133)". The record is from RNAcentral. Lineage: Eukaryota; Viridiplantae; Streptophyta; Magnoliopsida; Brassicales; Caricaceae.
AGUGUUAUAUUAAUUAAUUAUGUAACAAAAUUAAUAAUAAAAUUAAAAUGGUAAAAUUUUUCCAAAAUAAAGAAUUAAUUGUUAUAAUCAUUUAAAAUACUUUUAUUUUUUAAAAAUUAUUCUAAUAAUUUAAAUUAUUUUAGAAUAUUUUAUUUAUUUAUUUAAUAUUAUAUUUUUUUAAAAAUAUUGAAUUUAUUAAUUAAUGAAACAUCAAAUUAAUAAAUAUACUCAUUAAAUAUAUUAUGCAACUCCUACAGUGCAAGCCAUUUUUCAGUCCAUCUAUUUUUAGUUUUUCAUUUCAUCUUUAUCAAAAAUCAAAAACAGAUUCUACUCUUGUCUAAAUGCAUUACUGGUUUUUAAUGUUUGGCCAGGCUUCUAAAUUUUAAUAGCAGAAGUAGAAGCUCAGCUAAACAGGUACUUGGGAUAUAUUAACAGGAUAGGACAAAUUAUGAUUAAUUUGUUCAUUUAGAUAUUUGAGAGUGAAAACUUAGACAUUAUAGCUAGAGUUUCUUAGAUAUCAGAUACAAUCAAAUCUUAAAAACAAUACUUAAAUGUUUGAUUACAUCACACAAACUAGAGAAUUGAGAAAACUGCCAAAGCAUUUUAUUGAACAACUCAACGCUUCAAAAGUAUAAUUAUUAAGGUAUUUAUAUUGAUUACUAACUUUUCCCAGAUGUGACUAAAGUAAGAAAUACUAACACUAAUUAGAACAGGAAAACUAAGUACUAAAAAAAAUAAAAUUUUAAAGUUACUAAAACUAUAAUAAUAAAUUUCUAAAUUUAUUUCAAAAAAUAAUAAUAAUAAGUUUCUAAAUUGUAUUAUAGGUUUAUAUUAAAAGAAAUAAUAACGUCUAAUUUGUUUAAACAAUCUAAAUUUGACCAACUCUGCCUCAUUUUUUCUGGUUGGAGAAGGUUAAUCCAUGAGUUUUGAAGUGGUGCUAAUGUAAAAAAAUAAUUACCAAACGUUUUAUUCGGUCAUUCUCUUCAAUAACAAAUAUAAUGGAAAUCAAACUUUUUUUAGAAAAGUGGAAUCCUAGUGGUAGGGUAAAAUCAAAAUAUUGACCAAUCGGUGUGUUAAGUUUCUAAAGCAUGGAACUUCCAUAGAGUUAUCUGUUAGGAAAAUAUGUUGAGCAAUAGAAACACACGGUGGUUCUUCUUGAUUCUCCACUUUAGGGUUUGCAACUAUGUGCCUUACUACAAACAAAAGAGAGCUAUUUACUUGUUCACAAUCAACUAAAACCAUUCUCCUUAUAAGAUAUAUAAUCAUUGAAUGUCCUCCUUUUGUUUCAUUCAAAUAGGCAAGUUGUUCUUCUUUGGGCAUUGAUACCCAUAUGUUCACUUUUUAUGGGGAAUUUUUGCAACAGGCUUUGAGUUCCUGCCAGUCAGAAGGUUUUGGUGCCUCAAAGGUGGAUGCGUCAAUCAGCUCCUACUGGUGAUCAUGAUCUAGGAUGGAGGCUGCUAGACUACAUUAGAGUUUGCCAUUCUUUGUGCUUUCUUUUGUAGAUGAGUCUGGAGCUAUUUAGGCAUAGGGUUUUAGGUGUUUGAUGUAAGAACUUUUUGCUUUGACACCAACUAAUAUAGAUCAAUUAAGAUAAUUUGCCCACUCAAGGAUUUGGGAACAAAAACUUCAUCUUUAUGAAAAAGUUAAUCAUCUAACCUAAGAAGG